Molecule: long non-coding RNA, 1320 nt
Organism: Passer montanus (Eurasian tree sparrow)
Lineage: Eukaryota; Metazoa; Chordata; Aves; Passeriformes; Passeridae
Exons: 9
Source: RefSeq, a predicted model, not a curated record
CAGGGUCUGCCAGUGCUGGUGAAGUCUUUUUUGUGAAGCACACAGAAAAUCUGCCAUCCCAAAUCCAUCUCCUUCCCACUGGCCGACAGCCUGAGGAGGAGCUGUUCACAGAUCUCCUUUUGGCAGCUGGCUGGGAAGGGAAUGCCAUGGCCAAGGAGGGAUUGCCAGGGAGGAUUACCAAGGUUCAAGCUGAAUUCCAAGGGAACAGGAGUUGUGUGUGCCACCUCUGCACCAGGGCCGUGUCUGGGGGAAACCAAGAACUGAGCAGAUCCUUUUUCUUAUUUCCACUCCUUUUCAGGGUGGUUUCUCCCAAACCAAGACAAGCCAUCAGAAUACGUUCCCGAGGAGUUGGGCCUAGCAAUAUGGCAGCGCACGUUCCAUAGGAAAUCCUGCAGAAUGCUGCUGCUGCUGAGCUCUGUUCCCAAGGAGGGCACAAUCCCUGCCCCGCUCCAGCCUUGAGCACUGCAGGCACUGAGUUUUCUCCACCCCAAAAUUCCAAGCCAAGGAUUUUCAAAGAUGCUGCAGCACGAGUUUUGGCUGCUGAAAACUUUGGGAAAAGCUGGAUGCUUUUAAGCCCUCGAGCAGCGUGGUGUUAACAUUCCCAAAAAGCACCAUGGGAAUCUCAGUGCUCUUGCCUUCGUGGUCAGCAAGCAGAAGUCUCCAAAGAUUUGCUCCGCACUCUGCAAACUUCAGGAGGUUCAAAAACGAUGGCUAUUUAUAAUAACCCUGUCAAACACAACUUGAUGUUAACGCUGUGAGCUGUAAAUGAAAAGACCCAUCCUGCUCCAAAACCCGAGGAAUCAUAAUUAAAAAGGAGAAUGGGCAUCAGAUGAGGGUGACAAAAGCCAUGUGGACACUGCAGCUUCUCCCAGGGACUCACAGCCCGCCAGGGAUGUGGUAAGUGUUGUCCUGAUGGUUCUGUGUUUUUACAGAAUAUUGAUUGUGUCGGUGAUUUGGUGUGGAAUUGGCCUGCAAAAGAGUGAGGCUCAAAUUAGAAGCUUUUGAUUGGCAAGGUCACCACUCUGGAAAUAUCCAAAUCAUGGCAACUUCACCCAGUUUUGCUUUCCACUCUGAAUUUUACCUUUCCUCCCAUCAUUUGAAUUCUUAAUUUCUGUUACUGAAUGUUUUUUACUCCCCUGAAGAUGUUUAAUUAAUUUGGAAGCCAUUCUCAAGUAUGCUGUCCUUACAGCUGAGCUGUAAGCAUUAUUUUAAAGAUAUUUCCUAAAUGAUCUCUGUCCAGUUUGCCCGGAGUGAAGUUAUUGACUGCUCUCAAAAAGCCCUCAAGGUUUUAUAUUUAAUGCUGAAGUCCCUAAAGCUUCC